CUAAAAUAUUUUGAAAAAGAUUCAUAAAAGAUUUUACAAAUAUAUUUUUAAAACAUUUAUAAAAUAUUUUACUGAUAGAGUAAUCUUUUGAAAGUCUCUUAACGCGGACAUUUUCACCUUAUAGAAAGAUUUGUUAGAAACCUUUUUGAAAGGUUUAAAGCUUUUCAAGAAAUGUUUUAGAAAGUUUUUAUGUUAUGUGGGUUGAAUGCCUUACUUGAAGACCUUACUUGAAGACCUUACUUGAAGAUCUUACUUGAAGAUCUUACUUGAAAAUCUUACUUGAAGAUCUCACUGGGGUUUUGGGGAUAAAACUUGGCCCUAUCGCAGUUAAUUACGCUAGUAACCGCGACAACACGCGUGUGCGUUCAGCCAAUCGUUUGAACGGAGAAUCCUUAAAAGAGGCCAGGACACAACGAAAAAAGGCUAGAGUGGAAGAUAAUGAGUAUUUUGAAGAAGCAGAAGGCAUACUGUAUGGUGCAGGCAUCGCAGAAUAAGAUCAACCGUUCUCAAAUUUCGAUGCCCACCAACAGCAUACCUACUUUUUGAGGAUUCACGUUUGUCAGCCAUUUUGAAUUUCAAAAUAUGUUAAAAACAAAAAAAUAAUUUUUCUCUCUUACUUCUAGAGUGUAUUUAGCAUACUCAACAACUUUCAUACGUAUAUGCAUCUUACUAAGCCUAAAAAAAAUUGUGAAAAUAGCCUUUUUUUUAGCGUAUAAA
Molecule: long non-coding RNA, 717 nt
Organism: Polistes dominula (European paper wasp)
Lineage: Eukaryota; Metazoa; Arthropoda; Insecta; Hymenoptera; Vespidae
Source: RefSeq, a predicted model, not a curated record